UCCCUGAUGGUCCAGUGAUUAGGACUCAUGCUUUCACUGCCAGGGGCACGGGUUCGAUCCCUGGUCAGGGAA
RNAcentral lists this transfer RNA (72 nucleotides) under Ovis aries (sheep). It matches the Rfam family "tRNA". From Rfam's summary of the family: Transfer RNA (tRNA) molecules are approximately 80 nucleotides in length. Their secondary structure includes four short double-helical elements and three loops (D, anti-codon, and T loops). Lineage: Eukaryota; Metazoa; Chordata; Mammalia; Artiodactyla; Bovidae. The record is from Rfam by way of RNAcentral.